UACGUAGGGUGCGAGCGUUAAUCGGAAUUACUGGGCGUAAAGCGUGCGCAGGCGGUUUUGUAAGCCAGAUGUGAAAAUCCCCCGGGCUUAACCUGGGAAUGGCAUUUGGGACUGCAAGGCUGGAGUGUGGCAGAGGAGACUGGAAUUCCUGGUGUAGCAGUGAAAUGCGUAGAUAUCAGGAGGAAUACCGAUGGCGAAGGCAGGUCUCUGGGACUGACACUGACGCUGAGGAGCGAAAGCCAGGGGAGCAAACGGG
Molecule: ribosomal RNA, 256 nt
Filed under: uncultured bacterium
Lineage: Bacteria
Description: partial 16S ribosomal RNA
Rfam family: Bacterial small subunit ribosomal RNA
Source: RNAcentral